Molecule: long non-coding RNA, 1432 nt
Organism: Rhododendron vialii
Lineage: Eukaryota; Viridiplantae; Streptophyta; Magnoliopsida; Ericales; Ericaceae
Exons: 3
Source: RefSeq, a predicted model, not a curated record
AGGAUAGCAAAAGGAUGUUUAAUAAAAAAAAAUUGCCUUUCAGGGGAAAAAAAAAAGGAUUUUCGAUAAGAAUACACAAUUGAGCAUAUAAAUUUAAAGAAGGAAAGAUGUUGAACAAUUAUCGUUAUUGAACUUUUGUUACUACGAGACCCUGGAGUGGAUUGACGGAUUUGCUCUCCACAUGAUUAAGUUUCUUGAAUGACUGCGACUAAAAGAAUAUACGACGGCGGAAUAUAGAAGCUCCUAAGGUUGGGAGCGUGUACUUAUAUUAUGAAAAUAAUGUAGCAAAGAGUAUUCACUUUAAAAAGUAUAAUAAUUUAAGAAGUAAAAAUAUGAACCAAGUCCUCCAUAAGUGUAAGAAAUGGGCUAGUGGCUAGAUAUAUGAGUUCAUCAAAGACCAAUUAAUAAAGCCAAGUGAUAGAUCCUUGUUUUUCUAUACAAAUAUAAUAUAAAAGCUCCCAUCUUCGUACGGAGCGAGCUCCCACCUCGAUGGGAGCGGGCUCCCGUCAAGCUCCUUAGUUGGGAGCGCAAAAGCGGGCUCCCAAGGUGGGAGCAGCACCACUUUAGGAGCUCCCUGCAACUAAGGAAUGGAUGCCCACACCUCUAAAUCCAGGGAAACAAAAUCCAAAAAAAUUAAAAGGGCUUCUUGGUAAGAGUCUGAAUGAAGAGAGAAGGCCCUUCAGCUCAUGAUAAGGAGUAAGGAGACAUGGACCGAAGAAAUAUUCUUCUUAAAACUAAUUUUUUCUUUCCAUGAUAAUUAGAGCAUUCGAUACAUAAUAUAGUAAACUCUAAUUACUAAUUAUGCUUGCUGCAUGGGUGUCACAUCUUGGACACCCUUGACAACCAAUGGAGUGUCUGAAGUGUAUUUCCUACAUUCAAAGAAUCCAUGUAACAUGUUUGAAAGCAACGAGAAAAUUCUUUUGCUGAUGGUUCGAAAUAAAAAAAAAAUGGUCAAAAGAUCAAGUAGAAUUAUAAAACCAUCCACUAUGCGAAAGAAACAAAAGCCAAGAAAAAGAAUUACCGAGUAAAACAAUAUAACCCAUACAUUUUUCCCAUAGUCACACUCUCAAAUAUCCAGAAACCAGGAACAAUAAUUGUUUUUGUUGGUAAUCUUAAACUACAAAUAAGCAUUUAUUGGUUAAUAGUAGCUCAAAUAAAGAAACUGAUACUAACUGGAGCGUUGAUGGGAGGUCUCCUCUCACUCUUUGUUUGGUUAGGCACGGGGUGAGGGGAUUGUGUGUUUAAUGGAGUUUGAUUGUCAAGCAUAACACAGUUUACACUGAAGAGUGAAAAUUCAGCCAAAGAUCAAAGAAUCAACAAUCAAAGUCCAAGGAGAAAAUUAACCUAUGAAAUUACGAACUUUGUUUUGGAGGAAAGCGGAAGGAAAUAAAAUGAAGGGAAAAUACCAAAUUGAAACUUAAUCAUUUUUUCG